Molecule: non-coding RNA, 72 nt
Filed under: Rhodobacteraceae bacterium EhC02
Lineage: Bacteria; Pseudomonadati; Pseudomonadota; Alphaproteobacteria; Rhodobacterales; Paracoccaceae
Description: Singlet oxygen resistance RNA X
Rfam family: Singlet oxygen resistance RNA X
About the family: SorX (RSs2461)like SorY is a singlet oxygen induced sRNA that counteracts oxidative stress by targeting mRNA for a transporter in Rhodobacter. It also has an impact on resistance against organic hydroperoxides. It targets SD sequence of potA mRNA via an aSD sequence.
Source: Rfam by way of RNAcentral
CCCCGUCGCAUAUGCGGGUCAUCAUAUGCACCUCCCUGUUGGACUGCCCCGGCCUGGUGCCGGGGUUUUUUU